GGGACAAACGCUGGCGGGGUGCGUGAGACAUGCAAGUCGAACGAGGUGCCAUCGGGCUUGCUCGAUGGCUACCUAGUGGCGGACGGCUGAGUAACGCGUAGGUGACCUACCCGGAAGUGGGGAAUAACUGCCCGAAAGGGUGGCUAAUACCGCAUACGGUCGACGAUUCGUUUCGUCGUCCAAAGGAGCAAUUCGCUUCCGGAGGGGCCUGCGUCCGAUUAGCUAGUUGGUGGGGUAACGGCUCACCAAGGCGACGAUCGGUAGCUGGUCUGAGAGGAUGAUCAGCCAGACUGGGACUGAGAACGGCCCAGACUCCUACGGGAGGCAGCAGUCGGGAAUUUGCCCAAUGGACGAAAGUCUGAGGCAGCAACUCCGCGUGAGGGAUGAAAGGCUCUCGGGUCGUAAACCUCUUUUUCUCAGGGAAGAUCCAAGACGGUACCUGAGGAAUAAGCCACGGCUAACUACGUGUCAGCAGCCGC
RNAcentral lists this ribosomal RNA (479 nucleotides) under uncultured soil bacterium. RNAcentral's name for it is "bacterial SSU rRNA". It matches the Rfam family "Bacterial small subunit ribosomal RNA", at positions 27 to 518 of the family's 1533-position model. The record is from RNAcentral.